CUCUUGCGAUCUCGCCAUUUUUUUUGGAAACCUCUGCGCCAUGAGAGCCAAAUGGAGGAAGAAACAAAUGCGCAGGCUGAAG
Sapajus apella (tufted capuchin) is the source of this 82-nucleotide long non-coding RNA. RefSeq lists it as uncharacterized. Lineage: Eukaryota; Metazoa; Chordata; Mammalia; Primates; Cebidae. The record is from RefSeq and is a predicted model, not a curated record. The transcript is spliced from 3 exons.